UUUUGCCCAAUGACAGCUUAGUGUGGAGUCACUGUUUUGUCCAAGCCAAAGGUUUGCCGCGGUGUGUGAUUACUGGAGGAAAAAAGACAGCCCUCUUUCCUGUAUACAGUGUCGAUGGUGGAUGACCUCUUAAACAGUUUCCACAGGAUUUCAGAGGUUCCAGUGAUUGCUGCUGAUGAGCGAAACUUAAAAAGUGGAAACAAUGUCUGUAUUUGACAGAUGGAAGCUCCAGGUGGUUGCUGCUGUGUGUGUGAUCAUCGUGACGACAUCCUAUUUUAUUCUGCCGAAAGAUGUUACCACUACACCAAAACUGAGGUGUUGUCUGUUUUUAUAGUUGUGCAAAUGUCUCCGUACAUGUACACAAUUCUGGUCGGACAGAAAGGGGAGAGGAGUUUUCACCUGCCCAGAUGCUUUCCCACGCAGUCACCCAAGGUCCUGACUGUGGAUUGCUGGAUGUGGAUGACAUAAUUGUCUGCCCAAUGUUCACUGGUUGACAAGUGGAUCGAAAUAGAGAAGGGGGAAGGGACUUCAAAGAUAAAAAAAAAAUACAGCAUGAAAAGCACAUACAGUGGCUUCAUUGGACAAUGUUCGUUGUUUUUAACACUCUGUUUCACAUCAGCUCUUAUAUGUAUAGGUACGUUACAAUUUUGCUCUUUUCUUGCUGACGGACCUGCAGUGUAAUCAUGCUUUAAUGGGAAAUUGUGUCUUGUUAGGAAGCUCUAUGAAGAUUCUUUUUAGCAAAAUUUGUCUGUGAAGGUUCUCAGUCAUCCAGGUCAUCGUAGUCAAAGGAGUUUGCAAAGAAAAGCGUCUGGACUUCUUUAAGUUGCUUGAAGACGUUUCACCUCUCAUCCG
Molecule: long non-coding RNA, 852 nt
Organism: Oreochromis aureus
Lineage: Eukaryota; Metazoa; Chordata; Actinopteri; Cichliformes; Cichlidae
Source: Ensembl